AUGAAGACAAGAAAAGAAAAUCACCAACAGCGUACUUUCAGUGUGACACUGCCAACCCAGCCCCCACUCUGGAAACACCCUUGUUGGUGGUUAUAUUAAAUUAAACAAAUGCUGUCUGAUACUUUCAGUCCAUCCAUUAGAGGUCUGGAUGAUGUAAAUCUUAUACCAUCAUCUGUUUGUAGGAUGGGAAGCAGGUAGAAGGAUCAUGUAUAUUAUUAUUUAAUUCAUCAAGAUUAUACAGGAAAUAUAACAAAGACCAGUUUGUUUCAAUGUUUUUAAUUUCACACAAGACAAGACAGAACAGUUCACUCACAAAUCACAUUAAUUCAAUUCAAUUUUAUUUGUAAAGCACAAAUUCAUAACAGAAGUUAUCUCAGGACACAAAUAGAGCAGGUCUAGACCGAACUCCUUCUAACAUUAUUUAUAGAGAUCCAACCGGUCCCACCAUGAGCAAGACCUUGGAGACAGCGGCAAGGAAAAACUUCCUUUUAAGAAGAAGAAACCUCGGACUGACCCCGACUCUAGGUGGGUGGCAGUCUGCCUCGACCAUUACCAUUACAGUAGUAGAAAAAAUAUAUAAAGAAGUUUAAUAAGAAAUAAAGCCUUUAGGUUACAUAUGAGACGGAUGGCGUAUAGAGAGGUGAGUUUUCAAGCACAAAUUGAUCGGUUUGUGCUUUUCAUUGGUUCUUCAUGUCAGCGCUUCCUGGCACAGACUGAUGGGAGGGACCCGUCACACCAAAAGUCAUCCCAGCAUUUCUGAUCU
Molecule: long non-coding RNA, 763 nt
Organism: Dicentrarchus labrax (European seabass)
Lineage: Eukaryota; Metazoa; Chordata; Actinopteri; Moronidae
Exons: 3
Source: RefSeq, a predicted model, not a curated record